GACUCUGAGCAAUGCGUGACUGUGGAGCUGUGGUUCAGCGUGCUGCUCUAUCCCUGAGGCCUGCGUAACCAAACUGCCUUCUCUACAGCACAGCUGAGAAACAAAGCCAGUAGUGCCCCACCACAGCAGCACAGAUCUGUGCUGUGUCCUGCUCCCAACAUCCAGCCUGCCUGACAUCAACAUUUAACAUGCUGCCCGUGCAUCGCCACGCAUCCCGCUUAGCUGUCAGCUCGCCGCCGCCGGCUUAAAGGAGCGGAGCAGCACCGCGGAGACCCAGCAGCCCCCGACCCCCCGCUGUGCCCCGCCAUACCUCUACCCUUCUCUACCUGCGGCUUGCGCUCCUGCGGGGCAAAACUUCUCUGCUCAAACACCCCUCCCCUUCCCCGGCUUCACUUCGGUCCCUUUCUCCCAUCCACUAAGCACUCAGACGCUGGCGGAGCGCCAGGGGCUCGUUUCGGGGUCCGCUAGGAGCGGCGGUGGCUGCGCCCCGUGCUCGUCCCGGUGCCCCCCGCUCCCAUCCCGACCCCGGCCCUGCCCUUCCCGCAGGGAGGGCGCUCCCUACGGCCGCCGGCUCUCCCCUCUCUCUCGGCGGUGCCUCUCUCCGCCUUCCCCACGCCGGCAGCCCCCGGCACUGCCUUCCCUCUCCUCCCCCCGCAUUCUAGGGGUAGGGGCCGUAGAUCAAGCUCCGCGGGCCGGUCUCCCCCCACACCCUCCCGGUCCGGCUGCGAGCGGCGGGGAGGGCGAUCCGCCCGCGAAGAAAUGCCCUGUUGAACUUUGAAUACAUUAGUUGACAUCAGUGCGAGUUGGGGCUGCCAGCCCCUAGCUCCCUCCUCCUUCCCUACCUCCUCCUCCUCCGCCUCCUCCUCCUCCUCCCCCCCACCACGGUCUCCGAUGGAAAGAGUUGAAGCCGCGCCGACAGGAGCCGCCGGGAAGAGGCAGCGGAGCGCAGGGCAGGACUUGGGUCCCAACUCCGACCGCGCCGCGGGGACGCUGCCCGCAGCCGCUCGCAUGGCCCGGGGCAGCGCACCCUAAGCGCCGGGCUGGGGCGAGCCGCCGCUCCGCUCCGCUCCCCGUUCUCCUCUCGCCGCAGCCGGAGCGCGAUGCGCCUGUGAGCCCCGCACCGGAGCCGCCGGGGAGCCCGUAAGCGCAGCGCGGCUGAGGGGCUGGGGGAGGGCGGUGGGGAGGGGGCGGCGCAAACUUGGAGGCUCCGCGGGGAGCCCUCUGUACGGCCCGGGGUGCGGAGGGGUCGGGGCACCCCGCGAGGUGCCGUCCUCCUGCCCCGAGGGUGGGCAAUCGGGGGGGGGCUCCGGACGCUGCUCGCACGGCCCGGGGGAGCUGGGGAGGGAACGAGCCGGGAGGCGGCGGAGGUGAUUUCUUCGUUCUUUCUCUUUCCUCCUCACCUUCCAGCUCUCCCAUGACCCGCCGAGCGGGGCUGAGGCAAGAGGGAAGCCGGAGAGCUCGGGCGCAGGGAUACUAAGGCUUGUUGUGUUCGUUUUUCUUUAUCCCCCCCCCCUCCACCUUUUUUUCUUUCUUUCCUUUUUUUUUUUUUUUUUCUUUCCCGGAUGGUAAUUUGUCUUUGUGGUAGGGGUGGCCCAUUAAAUUUCAGCUCACGUCCUGAUGGAGAUCAAAAGGGAAGGGGAGAGGGAGAGGGAAGCAGAGAGCCUUGUGCGGCUCCGUAGCUCCGUGCAUUGUUAGAAACUUACGGGGAGGGGGGGAUUCCCGAAGCAACCUUUGUGGCUGCGGCCCCGACGCCCACACCAAAAGUUGGAGAUGUGCAU
Long non-coding RNA from Coturnix japonica (Japanese quail), 1778 nucleotides. The record is from Ensembl. NCBI's taxonomy places the organism in Eukaryota, Metazoa, Chordata, Aves, Galliformes, Phasianidae.